GGGACGCGCAUUUCAAGCGCCCGUGUCGUUGGGUCAAACCAGCGACUGCGUUGGCGUUGCGGGCUCGGUCCGUCGGUGCCCACAAAGGCACCGGCGUGUCAACCGGCCCGCCCGUCCCCUCCUUCUGGAUUCCCGUUCCUGCUAUUGAGUUAGUGGGGACGUCACAGGGAGCUCAUCGUCGUCAGCAAUGCCGGCGGUGGGUUCCUGGGGCCCAGAUCGUUUACCGUGAAAAAAUUAGAGUGUUCAAAGCAGGCAGAUCCAAUUUUCUGCCACCGAAUACAUUAGCAUGGGAUAAUGGAAUAGGACCCUGUCCUCCUAUUUUCAGUUGGUUUUGGCAGCGCGAGGACUAGGGUAAUGAUUAAUAGGGAUAGUUGGGGGCAUUAAUAUUUAAUUGUCAGAGGUGAAAUUCUUGGAUUUAUGAAAGAUUAACUUCUGCGAAAGCAUCUGCCAAGGAUGUUUUCAUUAAUCAAGAACGAAAGUUAGGGGAUCGAAGACGAUCAGAUACCGUCGUAGUCUUAACCAUAAACGAUGCCGACCAGCGAUUAGGAGACGUUGAAUACAAAACACCACCAUCGGUGCGGUCGUCCUUGGCGUCUCGGUUUCGGCCGGGGCGCGGGGACGGCUUAGCCCGGUGGCACCGGUGAAUGACUCCCCUAGCAGCUUGUGAGAAAUCAUAAGUCUUUGGGUUCCGGGGGGAGUAUGGUCGCAAGGCUGAAACUUAAAGGAAUUGACGGAAGGGCACCACCAGGAGUGGAGCCUGC
Molecule: ribosomal RNA, 761 nt
Filed under: Acanthamoeba castellanii
Lineage: Eukaryota; Discosea; Longamoebia; Acanthamoebidae
Description: SSU rRNA
Rfam family: Eukaryotic small subunit ribosomal RNA
Source: RNAcentral